UAGGGAAUCUUCAACAAUGGACGCAAGUCUGAUGGAGCAACGCCGCGUGAGUGAAGAAGGUUUUCGGAUCGUAAAGCUCUGUUGUUGGUGAAGAAGGAUAGAGGCAGUAACUGGUCUUUAUUUGACGGUAAUCAACCAGAAAGUCACGGCUAACUACGUGCCAGCAGCCGCGGUAAUACGUAGGUGGCAAGCGUUGUCCGGAUUUAUUGGGCGUAAAGCGAGCGCAGGCGGAAUGAUAAGUCUGAUGUGAAAGCCCACGGCUCAACCGUGGAACUGCAUCGGAAACUGUCAUUCUUCAGUGCAGAAGAGGGGAGUCGAAUUCCAUGUGUAAGGGUGGAAUGCGUAGAUAUAUGGAAGAACGCCAGUGGCGAAGGCGGCUCUCUGGUCUGCAAAUGACGCUGAGGCUCGAAAGCAUGGGUAGCGAACAGG
This 429-nucleotide ribosomal RNA is filed under the name Bacillota bacterium. RNAcentral describes it as "Firmicutes bacterium partial 16S ribosomal RNA". It matches the Rfam family "Bacterial small subunit ribosomal RNA", at positions 355 to 776 of the family's 1533-position model. Lineage: Bacteria; Bacillati; Bacillota. The record is from RNAcentral.